GAAAGAAAGAUUAAUACCGGAUGGCAUAAUUAUUCCGCAUGGGAUGAUUAUUAAAGAAUUUCGGUUGUCGAUGGGGAUGCGUUCCAUUAGGCAGUUGGCGGGGUAACGGCCCACCAAACCUACGAUGGAUAGGGGUUCUGAGAGGAAGGUCCCCCACAUUGGAACUGAGACACGGUCCAAACUCCUACGGGAGGCAGCAGUGAGGAAUAUUGGUCAAUGGACGAGAGUCUGAACCAGCCAAGUAGCGUGAAGGAUGACUGCCCUAUGGGUUGUAAACUUCUUUUAUACGGGAAUAAAGUGAGCCACGUGUGGUUUUUUGUAUGUACCGUAUGAAUAAGGAUCGGCUAACUCCGUGCCAGCAGCCGCGGUAAUACGGAGGAUCCGAGCGUUAUCCGGAUUUAUUGGGUUUAAAGGGAGCGUAGGCGGGUUGUUAAGUUAGUUGUGAAAGUUUGCGGCUCAACCGUAAAAUUGCAGUUGAUACUGGCGACCUUGAGUGCAACAGAGGUAGGCGGAAUUCGUGGUGUAGCGGUGAAAUGCUUAGAUAUCACGAAGAACUCCGAUUGCGAAGGCAGCUUACUGGAUUGUAACUGACGCUGAUGCUCGAAAGUGUGGGUAUCAAACAGGAUUAGAUACCCUGGUAGUCCACACAGUAAACGAUGAAGACUCGCUGUUGGCGAUAUACGGUCAGCG
RNAcentral lists this ribosomal RNA (690 nucleotides) under uncultured bacterium. RNAcentral's name for it is "bacterial SSU rRNA". It matches the Rfam family "Bacterial small subunit ribosomal RNA", at positions 153 to 845 of the family's 1533-position model. The record is from RNAcentral.